UACGGAGGGGGCUAGCGUUGUUCGGAAUUACUGGGCGUAAAGGGCGCGUAGGCGGUCGAUCAAGUCAGGCGUGAAAGGCCUGGGCUCAACCCGGGAACUGCGCUUGAUACUGGCUGACUUGAGUCCGGGAGAGGAUGGCGGAAUUCCCAGUGUAGAGGUGAAAUUCGUAGAUAUUGGGAAGAACACCGGUGGCGAAGGCGGCCAUCUGGACCGGCACUGACGCUGAGGCGCGAAAGCGUGGGGAGCAAACAGG
This 253-nucleotide ribosomal RNA is filed under the name uncultured bacterium. Its description in RNAcentral is "partial 16S ribosomal RNA". It matches the Rfam family "Bacterial small subunit ribosomal RNA", at positions 524 to 776 of the family's 1533-position model. The record is from RNAcentral.